This 53-nucleotide transfer RNA is filed under the name Corylus heterophylla. Its description in RNAcentral is "partial tRNA-Leu". The record is from RNAcentral. Lineage: Eukaryota; Viridiplantae; Streptophyta; Magnoliopsida; Fagales; Betulaceae.
GGAAAAUCCGUCGACUUUAUAAAUCGUGAGGGUUCAAGUCCUCCUAUCCCCCA